GCCAGAAAUAGCUCAAUUGGAGAGCGUUAAGACUGAAGAUCUAAAGGUCCUGGUUCAAUCGGGUUUCGGCG
This 71-nucleotide transfer RNA is filed under the name Trichonephila inaurata madagascariensis. RNAcentral's name for it is "tRNA-Phe". It matches the Rfam family "tRNA". From Rfam's summary of the family: Transfer RNA (tRNA) molecules are approximately 80 nucleotides in length. The record is from RNAcentral. Lineage: Eukaryota; Metazoa; Arthropoda; Arachnida; Araneae; Nephilidae.